RNAcentral lists this ribosomal RNA (404 nucleotides) under uncultured Acidimicrobiales bacterium. RNAcentral describes it as "bacterial SSU rRNA". It matches the Rfam family "Bacterial small subunit ribosomal RNA", at positions 353 to 772 of the family's 1533-position model. Lineage: Bacteria; Bacillati; Actinomycetota; Acidimicrobiia; Acidimicrobiales. The record is from RNAcentral.
AGUGGGGAAUCUUGCGCAAUGGGCGAAAGCCUGACGCAGCAACGCCGCGUGCGGGAUGACGGCCUUCGGGUUGUAAACCGCUUUCAGUGGGGACGAAAUCAGACGGUACCCACAGAAGAAGCCCCGGCCAACUACGUGCCAGCAGCCGCGGUAACACGUAGGGGGCGAGCGUUGUCCGGAUUCAUUGGGCGUAAAGAGCUCGUAGGCGGCUCAGUAAGUCGGGUGUGAAACCCUCAGGCUCAACCUGGGGACGCCACUCGAUACUGCUGUGGCUAGAGUCCAGUAGAGGAGUGUGGAAUUCCCGGUGUAGCGGUGAAAUGCGCAGAUAUCGGGAGGAACACCAACGGCGAAGGCAGCACUCUGGGCUGGAACUGACGCUGAGGAGCGAAAGCGUGGGUAGCAAA